CUUCUUCUUGAUGUUAGUUGUUGUUGCUGUUGCUGCUGCUGCUGUGUCUGAUGAUACCCCAUAUUUCCUUGCUGUGGUUGCAGGAUGCUUAAAAAUACUACUGGUUUGCUGGCUUUUAUUUCUGGAGCUGUUUGGCAUGAGGUUAUCCUGAAAAGCCUUUUUGGGAAUCGCAUGGGUGAACAUGUCA
Long non-coding RNA from Vidua macroura (Pin-tailed whydah), 187 nucleotides. RefSeq lists it as uncharacterized. Lineage: Eukaryota; Metazoa; Chordata; Aves; Passeriformes; Viduidae. The record is from RefSeq and is a predicted model, not a curated record. The transcript has 3 exons.